Molecule: ribosomal RNA, 429 nt
Filed under: uncultured bacterium
Lineage: Bacteria
Description: bacterial SSU rRNA
Rfam family: Bacterial small subunit ribosomal RNA
Source: RNAcentral
UUAGGAAUAUUCGUCAAUGGGGGAAACCCUGAACGAGCAAUGCCGCGUGAGUGAUGAAGGUCUUAUUGAUCGUAAAACUCUGUUGUAGAGGAAGAAACCUUAUCAUAGGUAAUGAUGAUAAGUUGACGGUACUCUACCAGAAAGCCCCGGCUAACUACGUGCCAGCAGCCGCGGUAAUACGUAGGGGGCGAGCGUUAUCCGGAUUUAUUGGGCGUAAAGCGUGUGUAGGCGGUUUAUUAAGUUUAAGAUUAAAGCCCGGGGCUUAACCCCGGUUCGUCUUAAAAACUGGUAGACUUGAGUAUAGUAGAGGCAAGUGGAAUUUCUAGUGUAGCGGUUAAAUGCGUAGAUAUUAGAAGGAACACCAGUGGCGAAGGCGGCUUGCUGGGCUAUUACUGACGCUGAGACACGAAAGCGUGGGGAGCAAAUAGG